Thunnus maccoyii (southern bluefin tuna) is the source of this 3493-nucleotide RNA transcript. It is a transcript of the gene named R3H domain and coiled-coil containing 1, with no coding region annotated. The record is from RefSeq and is a predicted model, not a curated record. NCBI's taxonomy places the organism in Eukaryota, Metazoa, Chordata, Actinopteri, Scombriformes, Scombridae. The transcript is spliced from 8 exons.
CAGACCGGAUAUGUUGUUGCUUCUGGAGGAGCGGCUUCCGGCAGCUCUGUGAUGCUAGCUAGCGACUGAGCCACUGCCGCCUGUAAAUAACUAAACGCUAACCUAAACCAGCCCAAGUCAAAACAGUACACUUUUACCACAACGGUAAGCCAACCGAAAUUAGUAUACGCAUUAGCUAACGUCAGCUAACGUUAGAGUGGCAGUUACCUGACGUGCGUUAUCGUUAACUGGAGGUUAAGUUAUCUUUGUUUAACAGUUUUUAAUUUGGUAGGAAAAAAAAUACAUCAUAACUGGACAGCUUUCUGGUCUACUUGGCUAACUAACGUAGCUAUUGUUUCUCCUCUUGUUUCUGGCUUAGCCUCUUUAACCCUAACUAGUUGCAAGCUAACGUUACUGAAUUUGAAUUUGGCUCAAUUGGCAUUGAUUUUGCAGCUCGCGUCAGUUAGGUCAGUAAUAAGUUCACUUCACGACACCGUCAUCAGGAGCGAUCCUUCUUUGUCCACCCUGGCGUUUCCUUGUUUCGAUGGCCUAUAUCUACCAAAGCAAGAAAAUGAAUUCGUGCAUCAGGUUAUGGAUGAGCUGGAAGCAUACCAACAGAAGAGCAACCGCAAAAGUGUGCUCCUGUUCCCCCCUCUACCCAGCAGACUGCGAUACCUGAUCCACAAGACCAUAGAGGAUCUGCCAGAGCUCACCACCUUCUCCGUAGGGGAUAGCUGGUGUCGUAGGGUGGUGGUCUGCCAUUCUGAGCUCAGGGGUGAGAUAGGAGAGGAGGACAGUGACCUGGAGGGCAACAACAGCUUGUGUGAAGAACUCCCAAGAAGUAAGGUGGAGAUGGAGGGCAACGCCAAGCCUAAAUCUUUAAUCUCAUCACGAACCCGAGGGCCUAAGAGACCAGACAUGCCCCUUUACAUGCCAAGAGCUGCUCGGGAGAGACUGAACUUACAAAACUCACAAAGACCCUCAGGAGACCAAGAAUUGCCCAGUCCAGCAUCGAGUAGCUGCAGCUGCAUCAGCAGUUCAUCUGACUCUUGUUCCUGUUCUGAAACUACAGAAAACACAAAGCCCUCAUCCACAUUCAAGCAAGAAUCUCUCCCAAGUUCAGCUGAUGGUAUCUUCGACAGGUCGGUACUUUGUCCUCAGGAAAAGAAACAAAACUUGGUGUUAAGGCUGCAUGACGAUGAGCCCCUAGUCUGGGACCAGACUGUGACCUGCUUCACUGACAUGACCCUGGAGGGGGAUGUGAAGGAAGAGGAAGACCUUACUAGUGUGUCACGCAGCACCCACACAGAAGACACAAUCACAGACACUGAUGACUUAACUGAAGAGAUCAAGACACAUCUGAAAGAGGCAGUGACUGUUUCCAUUGAGCAUGUCCACAAUGACUACUCCAUUUAUGAGAAUGUGUGUAUCAACCCGAUUGAGUUUCGCCACGUGAUCGAGAUCUAUGACUUCCCAGCGAUGUUCAAAACAGAUGACCUCCUGGAUGCUUUUACUGACUACAGUGAUGGUGGAAUAAAGAUCAAAUGGGUGGACAACACACAUGCCCUGGGGGUUUUCUCUAGUGAGUCUGCAGUGUUUUCUGCGUCAUAUGCAGCACUCCAAGCCCUCUCCAUCUGCCACCCACUGCUGAAGGUACGUGCACUGGCUGAGGGGAGUAAAAAAGCCAAAGGCAAGGCCAUUAGACGGGCAGAGUUUAUCCAGCCAGUGAAGGAACGUCCGAGGACAGACUGUGCUGUUGCCAGGCGGAUGGUGACCAGAGCUUUAGGGAUACAGGGACGAGGACGGGUGCUGCGAUACUGAAGAGAACUGUUUACUGUUGGCAAAUACAGGUGAACAGACUAACAAAAGCCACAGAAAGGCCCAGCAGAUGUCUGCCACCAUUCAUCGGCCCUCUGUAGAAGCUUCAUGGUGGCUCCUAAUCGCUAGCUGAUCAUGACGAGUACGACUACUAUCUGACACGUUUGCCUCCUUCACUGAUUGCUACAGCAAGUUGGCACGCUGAAGAUGGAAACUGAUUGAGUCACUGCCCCACGUCACCAGCAUUCGCCCUGCUGAAGUAUCCCUGAGCAAAACGCUGAAUUACCACCAGCCUCACAGUUGCUGUUCUGUAGCUGAGCCUGACCCCUGAACUUUGGACAUUUUGUCGUGGUUUGCGUUGUUCACUGUUAAGAUCACUAAUAAUAAGGAAAUGACGUGUCAGUAUUAACAGUGGAGUUUGGAACAGUCAUGUGCAAAUGGUGAUUUCAGAUAGCUGAGGAAACAUUGGAGAAAACUGGAGAAGCUCUUGGCUUGUUUUGAUUUGAUUGCAUGUUGCCUUCAAACUGAAGUUUGUUUUGAGGAUGUUAUAUUUCUUGGGAAGGUGUUUUUUGUUUUGUCUUUGCCCAGGUAAUACAGGAUUGAUUGCAUACAUUUAUGUAAGUAAUAAUUCCUUAAACUUAAACUCAAAAUGUUCAUUUGUUUUAUAGAUUAUUCAUUCUCAGGACUUUGUUUAAGCAAUCGGUUUUGUUGUGCACUGCAGUUUACAGUUUUUUUUUUUUGUACAACUCCAACAGGAAAAAAAGGAAUAUAGGGAUUCCUUAUAGGAUUCCUUUUUUGGAGUUUUAAACCAUAACAGUGUCAGAUCUAUUUAAAGUAAAAAAUAAGAUAUUUAGGCACCCAGCUUAUACGACACACACACACAACACUGAUACACACAAGAAUAAAAGAAUAAAAACACAGCAGUGAAUGAUAGUCCAGCCACCAUGCAAGGUGAUUAAACUGAGAAAUACAGUUGUAGAAAAUAAAAAAUUUAGUAGCAAUGUUAUACCGGUCUCAACAGAGUUUUUGAGACCAGUAUUUUAUUGUUUUGUAAACAGGUUACAAGAGGUUCAUUUGUUCUUAAUAUUUUUCAUUAAGAACAUUUGUUCAUUUGUUCUUAAUAAUUUUUUGUCCCUCCAAAUAACACAAAACUAUCAUAAGGUUGUAGCCUCAGAGUUUAAGUUCUUUCGCACUCCACAUUACAGAAAACUAGAUAGUUUCAGAAAUUUGAACAGUGGAAACUUGAAUGUUAGGCCUUCUGUAUCUGUUACACUACUGUUAUUUUUAUGUAAUUUUGUCACUGACUUAAUACCAGUCUAACUUCUGUAAAGAGGGUGUCCACAAACACCAUAAAGUGAAAAUUGUAUAAGUUUGUAUUUAGAAAGAGAAGAUGUUCAUUAUUUUUUAUUUUUUGUCAUACAGAAAUGGGCUCUUUCCCUGGAAUUAUCUUUUGUGCCUGAUGUGAGAAUGACAGAACUUGUUCUAUGCAUUACUUACAGUAUGUUGCUAAUCUGUAGAAUUGAACUACAUCCAUUGAGUAAUUUCAGGGAAAAGAAGACUUGAUGGUAGCAUUAAAUGCUGCUCAAUCCCAUGAAAAUAUGAAAGCUGUACGUGUUUUUUAACUUAAUACACUGUAUAAAACAAGUUUCAAUGUUGUACAAUUUUAAAUUAAAGAUGUACAGUGUUAGGACUGUAA